Molecule: small nuclear RNA, 101 nt
Filed under: Sorex araneus (European shrew)
Lineage: Eukaryota; Metazoa; Chordata; Mammalia; Eulipotyphla; Soricidae
Source: RNAcentral
GUGCUUCAGCAGGACAUAUACUAAAAUUGGAAUGACAGAGAUUAGCAUGGCCCCUGCGCAAGGAUGACAUGCAAAAUCAAAACUAAUAGAACUAAAAAUUC